UGGGGAAUAUUGGACAAUGGGGGCAACCCUGAUCCAGCGAUGCCGCGUGAGUGAAGAAGGCCUUCGGGUCGUAAAGCUCUUUAGGUUGGGAAGAAGGUUGUAGGAGGAAAUGCUUACAAUUUGACGGUACCGACAGAAUAAGCACCGGCAAACUCUGUGCCAGCAGCCGCGGUAAUACAGAGGGUGCAAGCGUUAAUCGGAGUUACUGGGCGUAAAGGGCGCGUAGGCGGUAAGAUGUGUGUGAUGUGAAAGCCCCGGGCUUAACCUGGGAAGUGCAUCGCAAACUAUCUAACUGGAGUAUAUGAGAGGGUGGCGGAAUUUCCGGUGUAGCGGUGAAAUGCGUAGAGAUCGGAAGGAACGUCAAUGGCGAAGGCAGCCACCUGGCAUAAUACUGACGCUGAGGCGCGAAAGCGUGGGGAGCGAACAGG
RNAcentral lists this ribosomal RNA (428 nucleotides) under Actinomycetes bacterium. Its description in RNAcentral is "Actinobacteria bacterium partial 16S ribosomal RNA". It matches the Rfam family "Bacterial small subunit ribosomal RNA", at positions 355 to 776 of the family's 1533-position model. Lineage: Bacteria; Bacillati; Actinomycetota; Actinomycetes. The record is from RNAcentral.